CCUACGGAGUGCUGCAGUGGGGAAUAUUGCACAAUGGAGGAAACCCUGAUGCAGCGACGCCGCGUGAGGGAAGAAGUAUUUCGGUACGUAAAGCUCUAUCAGCAGGGAAGAAAAUGACGGUACCUGACUAAGAAACCCCGGCUAACUACGUGCCAGCAGCCGCGGUAAUACGUAGGGGGCAAGCGUUAUCCGGAUUUACUGGGUGUAAAGGGAGCGUAGACGGCAGCGCAAGUCUGGAGUGAAAUCCCAUGGCUUAACCAUGGAAUUGCUUUUGAAACUGUGCAGCUAGAGUGCAGGAGAGGUAAGCGGAAUUCGUAGUGUAGCGGUGAAAUGCGUAGAUAUUAGGAGGAACCCCAGUGGCGAAGGCGGCUUACUGGACUGUAACUGACGUUGAGGCUCGAAAGCGUGGGGAGCAAACAGGAUUAGAUACCCCAGUAGUC
Molecule: ribosomal RNA, 440 nt
Filed under: uncultured bacterium
Lineage: Bacteria
Description: partial 16S ribosomal RNA
Rfam family: Bacterial small subunit ribosomal RNA
Source: RNAcentral